This 427-nucleotide ribosomal RNA is filed under the name uncultured prokaryote. RNAcentral's name for it is "bacterial SSU rRNA". It matches the Rfam family "Bacterial small subunit ribosomal RNA", at positions 355 to 774 of the family's 1533-position model. The record is from RNAcentral.
UGGGGAAUCUUCCGCAAUGGACGAAAGUCUGACGGAGCAACGCCGCGUGAGUGAAGAAGGCCUUCGGGUCGUAAAGCUCUGUUAUUAGGGACGAAUGUUCUAUGUGUAAAUAAUGCAUAGAAGUGACGGUACCUAAGGAGGAAGCCACGGCUAACUACGUGCCAGCAGCCGCGGUAAUACGUAGGUGGCAAGCGUUGUCCGGAAUUAUUGGGCGUAAAGCGCGCGCAGGUGGGCUAGUAAGUCUCAUGUAAAAGUGCGGGGCUCAACCCCGUAAAGCGUGAGAAACUGCUAAUCUUGAGUGCCGGAGAGGAAAGCGGAAUUCCCAGUGUAGCGGUGAAAUGCGUAGAUAUUGGGAGGAACACCAGUGGCGAAGGCGGCUUUCUGGACGGUGUCUGACACUGAGGCGCGAAAGCCAGGGGAGCGAACG